GGUGGUUUUUUCGCUUCUUCCUUCUUCCCCUCCGAUUUCUUAUCGGCCUUUUUAUCGCCGCCACCAGCAGCGGCACAAUCGUCUUUCUUAGGUUCAAGCCUGGCUUUGAUUUUUGGUUGGUCCACUUUCCCCGUCACCGUUAGUUUCUUCUCUUUAGGAACCCCCUCCACCGCAAUCCUUAGUUCCUCUUUUAGGUACGGUGCCAAGGCCUUCACGUCCAUUGUUCCCUUCACAGUGACCAGAUUCUUCGCCGCGUCCAGAGUCACGCUGAGCACACCUGUUUUUAAUUAGCCACGUCAGCCAUCUAUUUUUUACUAUUAGAUUUAAUAUGUUAGUUUGAUCUAAUAAUCAAAUGUAUAAUUAACUAAUUACCUUUGAUUUUCAGUACUUUUGAAAUGCAACCUUCAUAGUGUUCACAGUGUAGCCUGAAUUUCAAAACGACGGUACUCUGCAAGCACCAAGAGUUAUUAAAAAUUAGUUAAAAAAUAAUAACAAUAGAAAACAAAAGGAUAAUCAACGUCUAUAUUCACGAUUAAAUCUUAGUAGCAGUAAUUUACUUAUUUAUUUACCUCUGGAGGUGGUUUUUUCGCUUCUACCUUCUUCCCCUCCGAUUUCUUAUCGGCCUUUUUAUCGCCGCCACCAGCAGCGACACCAUCGUCUUUCUUAGGUUGGGGAGAGAGAAUCUCGACUUUCCUCUUGGUCUUCUCUUCAAGCGUGGCUUUGAUUUUUGCUGGGUCCACUUUCCCCGUCACCGUUAGUUUGUUGCCGGCACAAUCUGUCUUCAUACCUUCCAC
This 794-nucleotide long non-coding RNA is filed under the name Populus tremula. RNAcentral describes it as "long non-coding RNA (PTRE_LNC002551)". The record is from RNAcentral. Lineage: Eukaryota; Viridiplantae; Streptophyta; Magnoliopsida; Malpighiales; Salicaceae.